Molecule: ribosomal RNA, 448 nt
Filed under: uncultured bacterium
Lineage: Bacteria
Description: partial 16S ribosomal RNA
Rfam family: Bacterial small subunit ribosomal RNA
Source: RNAcentral
CCCAGACUCCUACGGGAGGCAGCAGUGGGGAAUAUUGGACAAUGGGGGGAACCCUGAUCCAGCGACGCCGCGUGAGUGAAGAAGUAUUUCGGUAUGUAAAGCUCUAUCAGCAGGGAAGAAAGAAAUGACGGUACCUGACUAAGAAGCCCCGGCUAACUACGUGCCAGCAGCCGCGGUAAUACGUAGGGGGCAAGCGUUAUCCGGAUUUACUGGGUGUAAAGGGGGCGCAGACGGCAGCGCAAGCCAGGAGUGAAAGCCCGGGGCCCAACCCCGGGACUGCUCUUGGAACUGCGCGGCUGGAGUGCAGGAGGGGCAGGCGGAAUUCCUGGUGUAGCGGUGAAAUGCGUAGAUAUCAGGAGGAACACCGGUGGCGAAGGCGGCCUGCUGGACUGCGACUGACGUUGAGGCCCGAAAGCGUGGGGAGCAAACAGGAUUAGAUACCCCAGUA